GAUAAAUAUAAAAUAUAAUAUUAUUUCCAUAAUCUCUCGCCCAACUCGGUGGCUACACAUCGAUAACAAAACUGAAAACAAUAGUCAAUGAUAAUCAAUGGCCGAGUAGUACCCGAGUUUUAUUUUGAAUUAAAAAAAAAAAAAAUAAUAAAUGUGUAAGUCUUCUGUUACUACUACAAUCACCAUACAUAAAAAGUAAAACAGAGAUAGACAAUAUUUACAAAUAUCAGACGAAUGGGCAUAAUAUCAAUAAUUAGAUUAUUUAUUAUGUUGACACUGACUAUUUAGAUAAGAAAAGUAGCGACGCGUGGAACAACUGUGGAAGUCGAUAACCGGCAGCAGCUGUUAAACGCAAUUAAACAACGUUGAUAAAUCACUAUUAACAUUCGUUAUGAAAAAUAUCAAAUCGGCUCCGGACACGGUGAUAAAAAUAAUAGGACUUCUGCCGUGCGCUAAGUGUAGUGUUACGAAUCGUUAAAAAUUAUACCUAUGGAAAACCGACGGAGAAAACGGUCGUCUUGAAAAAAAUCACGUCAAUUUAAUGGGUCAUCGUUAUUGGGUUAUCGGCCGAUGUUAUUAUUAUAUUAUAUCAUUAUGACCGAGAGCCAAACAACAGCGAGAAGCCAGGAGAACGCCGACGAGAGAGGUUUUGUUUACGAUUUAAUUGCGUAAAUGCACGCGCGGUCAACAUUUGCCAUUUGAAAAGACACUAUUGUUACGCAUCGGCGUUAUUAUUAUAUUUUUUUUAAAAUAAUAAAAUGUUUUGAAAAUUGUGCUACGAUAGCCUA
Long non-coding RNA from Aphis gossypii (cotton aphid), 788 nucleotides. RefSeq lists it as uncharacterized. The record is from RefSeq and is a predicted model, not a curated record. Lineage: Eukaryota; Metazoa; Arthropoda; Insecta; Hemiptera; Aphididae. The transcript is spliced from 5 exons.